This 1744-nucleotide long non-coding RNA is filed under the name Sus scrofa (pig). Its description in RNAcentral is "lncRNA (ENSSSCG00070008924.1)". The record is from RNAcentral. Lineage: Eukaryota; Metazoa; Chordata; Mammalia; Artiodactyla; Suidae.
GUACGCAGUCCCACCCCUAAGACACCUGCAGGGGAGGAAGGGAGGAGGAAGGCUAAACAAGUGGAAACCCCCAAGGCUGGGAGGGGCUUCCUGUGCAGCGUCCUGGGCAAACCGUCUGCGUUACAGAAGAGGGGGCUUCAGAAAUGGGAAGAGCGGAGGAGGAAACAAACAAAAUCACCACAAAGUUUAGCUUUACACAGAGGGGAGCACUUCCGGAGGGCAAAGGCCUGACGGACAAGGGCAAGAGGCCCGAUUUGGAAAAUGCUGGACUUGCCAGGAAAGGAAAGUGGGAGGAGAAGGCUCUCCUUGGAGACCCUGUGGGUAUGGUCUGCUGGGUUUUAGAAGCACCCCAGCUGGUCUGGUCGCCACCAUUUCCCAAGGCCUUUUUUUUUUUUUUUUUUUUUAACUUUUAAAUGAUUGUCAGUGCAGUAGCAGUAUGCCAAGUAGUAACAUGUAACAUGUUCUUCAAUUCUAUCAUCUAACGCUUUUGACUAAGAGAAACUAAAAGCAGCCCAAAUAAUUAUUUUUUUCUUUUCUGUUGUUUUCUUUUUUGCUUUUUGUUUUUUAGGGCUGCACCUGUGGCAUAUGGAGGUUCCCAGGCUAGGGGUCGAAUCAGAGUUAUAGCUGCCAGCCUACGCCACAGCAACACAGGAUCCAAGCUGCAUCUGCAACCUACACCACAGUUCACAGCAAUGCCAGAUCCUUAACCCAUUGAGCGAGGUCAGGGAUCGAGCCCACAACCUCACCGUUCCUAGUCAGAUUCAUUUCUGCUGCACAGUGAUGGGAACUCCCCAAAUAAUUAUACUAGUAUCCAUUGUUCCAGUUGCAGCCAACUGGAUAAUGAUGUCAGGAUCAUGUCCUGAAUGUGGAGUCCUGACCUAGACUCAGCAAAAGACAAGAUCCCCUUCCCUUGGGGAACACCUGCUACGCCCCAUGCCGGGUGUCCUUGGGUAUGGGGUUCUCGCCAACACCUUGGGGUCACCGGCCAAGGGAGCCCCUAACUUGCCAGAUGGCCUCAGAUCCAGGCUUAGUAGGUGUUUGCUCUCCUGCAGCCUCAACAAGCCCUUCAGGGGGCCUUGAAGAUGUCCAUGUGAAUCCUGUCACCAAGUUGGUGGUUCCUGGCCCCAACUGUGCAAUGUUGCCAGCCAGCGGCUGCACCGGGCCCAUACCUCCGGGCUACUUCAUCCACCCUGACACUGGGCGGGUGCUGCCUGAGGCUGGAAAUCUGGGCUACGAUCUGCAGGAAGCUACCCUGGUGCCUACCACUGACUCCAGUUCUGGUGACGUCCGAACAUCAGAAGCUGCCAUCCUCCCCUAUGUGCCCUUCCCAACCUGUCCUGCCACGGGCUCCCCUCCGGCCACCUGCCUGCCUGUCCUGCAGCCAAGAAGAACGUCACAGCUGGGGGCUCUCAUGACAGACCCCAUCACUGGCCUGGAGGUGCCCGUGCUGGCUGUGACUCUGCACCCACACACAAGGCAGUGGCUCACCCUCGGGGGGACAUACCGCAACCCCCUCACCCAGACCGUGACCCCUCUAGAGUUGGGGGGCCCCCUGGAGGAUCCAGUCACAGGAAGCAUCUCGCCAAUCCUGGGAGUCGGGCUGGAUGAAAAUACAGGUCUCCCAGCUGUGCUCAGUGUCACCCUUCCGCCCUCUCCUCCCUUUCUCUCAGCCCCCAGACCCCUUCGCAUUCUGGUCCAAGCUGCAAACUCCACCCCAAGGCCAUCUCCCCCCACCCCCUCGUCC